This 1106-nucleotide ribosomal RNA is filed under the name uncultured organism. RNAcentral describes it as "bacterial SSU rRNA". It matches the Rfam family "Bacterial small subunit ribosomal RNA", at positions 327 to 1456 of the family's 1533-position model. The record is from RNAcentral.
CGGGCCAGACUCCUACGGGAGGCAGCAGUGAGGAAUAUUGCGCAAUGAGCGAAAGCUAGACGCAGCAACGCCGCGUGGGUGAUGAAUGCCUUCGGGUCGUAAAACCCUUUUCUGGGGGAAGAGUAAGGACGGUACCCCAGGAAUAAGCCUCGGCUAAGCUAUGUGCCAGCAGCCGCGGUAAUACAUAGGAGGCAAGCGUGAUCCGGAUCUACUUGGGCGUAAAAGAGCGUAGAGGCGGCUUCGCCAGUUGGACGUGACAAGCUCCCGGCUUAACUGGGAGAGACCGUUCAAUACUACGGGGCUUGAGGACAGCAGAGGGGGAUGGAAUUUCCGCUGUACUGGUGAAAAGCGUAGAGAUCGGAAGGAACACCAGUGGCGAAGGCGGCCCCCUGGACUGCUCCUGACGCUGAAGGCGAAAGCUAGGGUAGCGAACGGGAUUAGAAACCCCGGUAGUCCUAGCCGUAAACGAUGGAUACUAGGUGUAGGAGGUUAAGACUCCUUCUGUGCCGGAGCUGACGCGUUAAGUAUCCCGCCUGGGGAGUACGGUCGCAAGGCUAUAACUCAAAGGAAUUGACGGGGGCCCGCACAAGCAGCGGAGCGAGUGGUUUAAUUCGAUGCAACGCGAAGAACCUUACCAGGGCUUGACAUGUAGGUAGUAGUGAAGCGAAAGCGGAACGAUCCUUCGGGAAGCAUACACAGGUGCUGCAUGGCUGUCGUCAGCUCGUGCCGUGAGGUGUUAGGUUAAGUCCUGUAACGAGCGCAACCCCUGCCGUUAGUUACAAGUGUCUAACGGGACUGCCCGGCAAAACUGGGAGGAAGAUGGGGAUGACGUCAAGUCAGCAUGGCCUUUAUGUCAUGGGCUACACACACGCUACUAUUGGCCGGUACAAUGGGUUGCCAAGCCGCGAGGCGGAGCCAAUCCUCUAAAGCCGGUCUCAGUUCGAAUUGUAGGCUGCAACCCGCAUGCAUGAAGUUGGAGUUGCUAGUAACCGCAGGUCAGCCAUCACUGCGGUGAAUACGUUCCCGGGCCUUGUACACACCGCCCGUCACGUCAUGGAAGCUGGUAACACCUGAAGCCGGUGAGCUAACCGCAAGGAAGCAACCGU